RNAcentral lists this ribosomal RNA (386 nucleotides) under uncultured bacterium. Its description in RNAcentral is "bacterial SSU rRNA". It matches the Rfam family "Bacterial small subunit ribosomal RNA", at positions 30 to 418 of the family's 1533-position model. The record is from RNAcentral.
AUUGAACGCUGGCGGCAUGCCUUACACAUGCAAGUCGAACGGUAACGGGCCUUCGGGUGCCGACGAGUGGCGAACGGGUGAGUAAUGCAUCGGAACGUACCUUUCAGUGGGGGAUAACGUAGCGAAAGUUACGCUAAUACCGCAUAUUCUGUGAGCAGGAAAGCAGGGGAUCGCAAGACCUUGCGCUGAUUGAGCGGCCGAUGUCAGAUUAGCUAGUUGGUGAGGUAAAGGCUCACCAAGGCGACGAUCUGUAGCGGGUCUGAGAGGAUGAUCCGCCACACUGGAACUGAGACACGGUCCAGACUCCUACGGGAGGCAGCAGUGGGGAAUUUUGGACAAUGGGGGCAACCCUGAUCCAGCCAUGCCACGUGAGUGAAGAAGGCCUC